GCCAGACUCCUACGGGAGGCAGCAGUGAGGAAUAUUGCACAAUGGGGGGAACCCUGAUGCAGCGACGCCGCGUGGGCGAGGAAGUAUUUCGGUAUGUAAAGCCCUAUCGGCAGGGAAGAAGAAAUGACGGUACCUGAAUAAGAAGCACCGGCUAAAUACGUGCCAGCAGCCGCGGUAAUACGUAUGGUGCAAGCGUUAUCCGGAUUUACUGGGCGUAAAGGGAGCGCAGGCGGCGCGCCAAGUCUGAUGUGGAACCCCGGGGCCCAACCCCGGGACUGCCCUUGGAACUGCAUGGCUGGAGUGCGGGAGGGGCAGGCGGAAUUCCUGGUGUAGCGGUGAAAUGCGUAGAUAUCAGGAGGAACACCGGCGGCGAAGGCGGCCUGCUGGACCGCGACUGACGUUGAGGCUCGAAAGCGUGGGGAGCGAACAGGAUUAGAUACCCGGGUA
RNAcentral lists this ribosomal RNA (447 nucleotides) under uncultured bacterium. RNAcentral describes it as "partial 16S ribosomal RNA". It matches the Rfam family "Bacterial small subunit ribosomal RNA", at positions 330 to 792 of the family's 1533-position model. The record is from RNAcentral.